Molecule: ribosomal RNA, 501 nt
Filed under: uncultured bacterium
Lineage: Bacteria
Description: partial 16S ribosomal RNA
Rfam family: Bacterial small subunit ribosomal RNA
Source: RNAcentral
GUUGAACGCUGGCGGCAUGCCUUACACAUGCAUGUCGAACGGCAGCAUGGGUGCUUGCACCUGAUGGCGAGUGGCAACGGGUGAGUAAUGCAUCGGAACGUACCCGGAAGUGGGGGAUAACGUAGCGAAAGUUACGCUAAUACCGCAUAUUCUGUGAACAGGAAAGCAGGGGACCUUCGGGCCUUGCGCUUUCGGAGCGGCCGGUGUCGGAUUAGCUAGUUGGUGGGGUAAAGGCCUACCAAGGCAACGAUCCGUAGCGGGUCUGAGAGGAUGAUCCGCCACACUGGGACUGAGACACGGCCCAGACUCCUACGGGAGGCAGCAGUGGGGAAUUUUGGACAAUGGGGGCAACCCUGAUCCAGCCAUGCCGCGUGAGUGAAGAAGGCCUUCGGGUUGUAAAGCUCUUUCGGCGGGGAAGAAAUUGCAUCGGAUAAUACCCGGUGUAGAUGACGGUACCCGCAUAAGAAGCACCGGCUAACUACGUGCCAGCCGCCGCCGUAA